RNAcentral lists this ribosomal RNA (496 nucleotides) under uncultured bacterium. RNAcentral's name for it is "partial 16S ribosomal RNA". It matches the Rfam family "Bacterial small subunit ribosomal RNA", at positions 28 to 507 of the family's 1533-position model. The record is from RNAcentral.
GAUGAACGCUGGCGGCGUGCCUAAUACAUGCAAGUCGAGCGAACAGACGAGGAGCUUGCUCCUCUGACGUUAGCGGCGGACGGGUGAGUAACACGUGGAUAACCUACCUAUAAGACUGGGAUAACUUCGGGAAACCGGAGCUAAUACCGGAUAAUAUAUUGAACCGCAUGGUUCAAUAGUGAAAGACGGUUUUGCUGUCACUUAUAGAUGGAUCCGCGCCGCAUUAGCUAGUUGGUAAGGUAACGGCUUACCAAGGCAACGAUGCGUAGCCGACCUGAGAGGGGGUGCGGCCCCACUGGAACUGAGCCCCGGCCCGGGACCCUGCGGGAGGCCGGAGGGGGGAAUUUUCCGCAAGGGGCGAAAGUUUGAAGGAGCAACGCCGGGGUGGUGAUAAAGGUCUGCGGCUCGUAAAACGCUUUUAUUGGGGAAAAAAAAAUGGGUAAGUAACUAUGCGCGUCUGGCGGUAACCGAAUCAGAAGGCCCGGGUAACUUCGUG